This 255-nucleotide ribosomal RNA is filed under the name uncultured bacterium. RNAcentral describes it as "partial 16S ribosomal RNA". It matches the Rfam family "Bacterial small subunit ribosomal RNA", at positions 15 to 263 of the family's 1533-position model. The record is from RNAcentral.
AAUCCUGGCUCAGGACGAACGCUGGCGGCGUGCCUAACACAUGCAAGUCGAGCGGAGACAGUGAGUAGCUUGCUAUGAGCUGUUUUAGCGGCGGACGGGUGAGUAACGCGUGAGCAACCUUUCCCAGACAGGGGAAUAACACACCGAAAGGUGUACUAAUACCGCAUAAGACCACGGAAUCACAUGGUUCUGAGGUAAAAGAUUUAUCGGUUUGGGGUGGGCUCGCGUCCGAUUAGGUAGUUGGUGAGGUAACGG